Athalia rosae (coleseed sawfly) is the source of this 457-nucleotide long non-coding RNA. RefSeq lists it as uncharacterized. The transcript is spliced from 3 exons. NCBI's taxonomy places the organism in Eukaryota, Metazoa, Arthropoda, Insecta, Hymenoptera, Athaliidae. The record is from RefSeq and is a predicted model, not a curated record.
GGCCGAUUGAAAAGUUCGCGUGAUCCCGGAUGAAAAUUCUAUCCAAUUACGUCGGCCGCGACGUGUUUCGAGAGCGUCGAAUUAUUUCGCAAGAGUUUAUAUAUCCCGCAGAGGCGUGAGGUACGGAGUGUUCGAGUUAUACAAAGGGAUUGGAACGUCUGAGACGAUAUCACCGGGGCACGGACGUGUGACGAGAGAGAUUUUCGGUGGAUGUACAAGUUUUGGUGCACGCGAGAGUAUUAAUACAUAAUCGAGCCCGUAGCUUUAGGCAGACAGAGAGGAGUCGAGGAGAGGGACAGCCGGGCAGGCGAAGCGCCGCGGCGUACCGAGGAACGGAGUGCAGGGUGAUUGGGCGGUACGGAAUGGCGGGGUUUUGGUGAGGCUGCUGCCAGCAGUGGGAGGGUUGCUCGGACGGACGCGGAAAUUUAAAACCUGAUCAAUUGAUAGGACGGAAUGA